RNAcentral lists this ribosomal RNA (254 nucleotides) under uncultured bacterium. Its description in RNAcentral is "partial 16S ribosomal RNA". It matches the Rfam family "Bacterial small subunit ribosomal RNA", at positions 524 to 777 of the family's 1533-position model. The record is from RNAcentral.
UACAGAGGGGGCAAGCGUUAUUCGGAAUUACUGGGCGUAAAGGGCGCGUAGGCGGCCUGCUAAGUCGAACGUGAAAUCCCUGGGCUCAACCCAGGAACUGCGUCCGAUACUGGUUGGCUUGAAUCCGGGAGAGGGAUGUGGAAUUCCAGGUGUAGCGGUGAAAUGCGUAGAUAUCUGGAGGAACACCGGUGGCGAAGGCGACAUCCUGGACCGGUAUUGACGCUGAGGCGCGAAAGCCAGGGGAGCAAACGGGG